GCUUGUGCGAGGUCACAGUAGCAGUAACAGCGCAUUUUCCUUCAUCGGUAAACUGACUACCCCUAAAGAACGCUUGCAAAGAGACAGACCGAGACGGGGGAUACAGACGUGUCGGAAUCCUGCAGCUUCGUCAGUGGCUUGGACGUUGCAGGCAAAUUUCAUGAACAUCGUCGAAAACAAGAAAAAGUGAAAAAGUGAAAGUGAAAGUGGAAGUGAACAGAAAUGAACUUAACUUGGUGAUAUGACUUGUAGUACAUGAACGAGAGGAAUUAUGGGAAACAUUGUUUUUGUUUUGUGUAUUUUAAUUUAUAUUUAAGUUUGAAAAUAAAUGGUUAAAGGUU
Molecule: long non-coding RNA, 341 nt
Filed under: Penaeus chinensis
Lineage: Eukaryota; Metazoa; Arthropoda; Malacostraca; Decapoda; Penaeidae
Description: uncharacterized LOC125042372
Source: RNAcentral